ACUUUCGUUUUUUGUUAUUUCUAUGUUCGUCCCUUCAUUCAGUCUUGUAAUGAUGGUCUCAAGUAGUAACAUUAGUAGCUGCCGUAACGACAGUCUGAAGUACUAACAGUGGCAGUCAGCCACAAGUGGCACCUGAACAGGGACUAACAGGGACAAACAGAGACCUGGAGGGACCUGAUAUGGACCUGAACGAAGAAGGUCUGCUUGAACAGAAAAAACUAAAACCCACUAGAAGAAUGAGAAAUCCCGCUACAAGUCCGCUGGCAGCAACAAGAGGUUUUCUAUCCCUUUCAUUUUUUUCUCCUUCUGGGACAACAAAUGGCAAACAGACACUACAGUUAAUUUUAACCAUUGGCAGUAAACAACUUCACUGUGACGACUAUUAGGCAACAAUCAUUUUAAGAAAGCUUCCCGGGUGACAGAGCCUGUGGUGCCAGAAACUCAUUGAAAAAACUAAAGCCACAGAUACAAAGUGCAACUGAGCCCUAUGGAUUAA
Molecule: long non-coding RNA, 496 nt
Organism: Symphalangus syndactylus (siamang)
Lineage: Eukaryota; Metazoa; Chordata; Mammalia; Primates; Hylobatidae
Source: RefSeq, a predicted model, not a curated record